Molecule: ribosomal RNA, 406 nt
Filed under: uncultured microorganism
Description: bacterial SSU rRNA
Rfam family: Archaeal small subunit ribosomal RNA
Source: RNAcentral
GUGCACCAGGCGAGAAACUUUACAAUGUGCGAAAGCACGAUAAGGGAACUCUGAGUGCCUCCUAAGGAGGCUGUUCUGAUGUCUAAAAGCAACAGAAGUAAGGGCUGGGUAAGACCGGUGCCAGCCGCCGCGGUAACACCGGCAGCCCAAGUGGCAGCCACGUUUAUUGGGUCUAAAGCGUUCGUAGCCGGCCAGGUAAGUUCCUUGGUAAAUUUAGCCGCUUAACGGUUAAGCUUUCAGGGAAUACUGCUUGGCUUGGGACUGGGAGAGGUCAGAGGUACUCCGGGGGUAGGGGUGAAAUCUAUUAAUCCCUGGGGGACCACCGGUAGCGAAGGCGUCUGACCAGACCAGGUCCGACGGUGAGGGACGAAGGCUAGGGGCGCGAACCGGAUUAGAUACCCCCGUA